GACGAACGCUGGCGGCGUGCUUAACACAUGCAAGUCGAACGGAAAGGCCCUGCUUUUGUGGGGUGCUCGAGUGGCGAACGGGUGAGUAACACGUGAGUAACCUGCCCUUGACUUUGGGAUAACUUCAGGAAACUGGGGCUAAUACCGGAUAGGAGCUCCUGCUGCAUGUUGGGGGUUGGAAAGUUUCGGCGGUUGGGGAUGGACUCGCGGCUUAUCAGCUUGUUGGUGGGGUAGUGGCUUACCAAGGCUUUGACGGGUAGCCGGCCUGAGAGGGUGACCGGCCACAUUGUGACUGAGAUACGGCCCAGACUCCUACGGGAGGCAGCAGUGGGGAAUAUUGCACAAUGGGCGGAAGCCUGAUGCAGCAACGCCGCGUGCGGGAUGACGGCCUUCGGGUUGUAAACCGCUUUCGCCUGUGACGAAGCGUGAGUGACGGUAAUGGGUAAAGAAGCACCGGCUAACUACGUG
This 468-nucleotide ribosomal RNA is filed under the name uncultured bacterium. Its description in RNAcentral is "partial 16S ribosomal RNA". It matches the Rfam family "Bacterial small subunit ribosomal RNA", at positions 28 to 507 of the family's 1533-position model. The record is from RNAcentral.